GAUGAACGCUGGCGGCGUGCCUAAUACAUGCAAGUCGAGCGAACAGACGAGGCUCUUGCUCCUCUCACGUUAGCGGCGGACGGGUGAGUAACACGUGUAUCACCUCCCUAUAUUACUGGUAUAACUUCGGGACACCGGCGCUAAUACCGGAUAAUAUAUUGAACCGCAUGGUUCAAUAGUGAAAUACGGUUUUGCUGUCACUUCUAGAUGGAUCCGCGCUGCAUUAGCUAGUUGGUAAGUUAACGGCUUACCAAGGCGACGAUGCGUAGCCGAAGUGCGAGGGGGAUCGGCCACACGGGAACUGAGACACGGUCAAGACGCCUACGGGAGGCAGCAGUAGGGAAUGUUACGCAAUGGGCGAAAGCCUGACGGAGCAAGGGCGCGUGAGUGAUGAAGGUCUUCGGAUCGUAAAACUGGGUUAUGAGGGAAGAACAAAUGUGUAAGUAACUAUGGAGGGAGUGACGGUAACGAAUAAGAAAGCAACGGCUAACUACGUG
This 497-nucleotide ribosomal RNA is filed under the name uncultured bacterium. RNAcentral describes it as "partial 16S ribosomal RNA". It matches the Rfam family "Bacterial small subunit ribosomal RNA", at positions 28 to 507 of the family's 1533-position model. The record is from RNAcentral.